UCGCACUACGCUUAAAAGGCUGCGCCAAUAUUGUUAAAAACAAUAAAGGAAUGGAGUAGUCUCUGAGCAAUUGUGCGGAAAUGAAAUGCCGAGUUAAGCUCGGCGGCGGCCAGACAACCGUUGAGAUGGAUCCACAGAUCAGCGCCGCCGUUUCUACGGUGCUUGUCUACUAAAUCCAUAUCAAAUUC
This is a small nucleolar RNA of Salvia splendens (bonfire salvia), 188 nucleotides long. RefSeq annotates it as small nucleolar RNA snoR143. The transcript has a single exon. The record is from RefSeq and is a predicted model, not a curated record. Lineage: Eukaryota; Viridiplantae; Streptophyta; Magnoliopsida; Lamiales; Lamiaceae.